Molecule: ribosomal RNA, 253 nt
Filed under: uncultured bacterium
Lineage: Bacteria
Description: partial 16S ribosomal RNA
Rfam family: Bacterial small subunit ribosomal RNA
Source: RNAcentral
UACGGAGGGUGCAAGCGUUAUCCGGAUUUACUGGGUUUAAAGGGUGCGUAGGUGGACAUUUAAGUCAGCGGUGAAAUCUCCGGGCUUAACUCGGAAAUUGCCAUUGAUACUAUUUGCCUUGAAUUAUCUGGAGGUGAGCGGAAUAUGUCAUGUAGCGGUGAAAUGCUUAGAUAUGACAUAGAACACCAAUUGCGAAGGCAGCUUACUACGGAUGUAUUGACACUGAGGCACGAAAGCGUGGGGAUCAAACAGG